UUUAAAGCUGGUCUCAGUUCGGAUCGGGGUCUGCAACUCGACCCCGUGAAGUCGGAGUCGCUAGUAAUCGCAGAUCAGCAACGCUGCGGUGAAUACGUUCCCGGGCCUUGUACACACCGCCCGUCACGUCAUGAAAGUCGGUAACACCCGAAGCCGGUGGCUUAACCCCUUGUGGGAGGGAGCCGUCGAAGGUGGGAUCGGCGAUUGGGACGAAGUCGUAACAAGGAA
Molecule: ribosomal RNA, 228 nt
Filed under: Nocardiaceae bacterium L41_ABM_SC2
Lineage: Bacteria; Bacillati; Actinomycetota; Actinomycetes; Mycobacteriales; Nocardiaceae
Description: partial 16S ribosomal RNA
Rfam family: Bacterial small subunit ribosomal RNA
Source: RNAcentral